GACGAACGCUGGCGGCGUGCUUAACACAUGCAAGUCGAACGGAAAGGCCCUGCUUUUGUGGGGUGCUCGAGUGGCGAACGGGUGAGUAACACGUGAGUAACCUGCCCUUAACUUUGGGAUAACUUCAGGAAACUGGGGCUAAUACCGGAUAGGAGCUCCUGCUGCAUGGUGGGGGUUGGAAAGUUUCGGCGGUUGGGGAUGGACUCGCGGCUUAUCAGCUUGUUGGUGGGGUAGUGGCUUACCAAGGCUUUGACGGGUAGCCGGCCUGAGAGGGUGACCGGCCACAUUGGGACUGGGAUACGGCCCAGACUCCUACGGGAGGCAGCAGUGGGGAAUAUUGCGCAAUGGGCGGAAGCCUGAUGCAGCAACGCCGCGUGCGGGAUGACGGCCUUCGGGUUGUAAACCGCUUUCGCCUGUGACGAAGCGUGAGUGACGGUAAUGGGUAAAGAAGCACCGGCUAACUACGUG
RNAcentral lists this ribosomal RNA (468 nucleotides) under uncultured bacterium. RNAcentral describes it as "partial 16S ribosomal RNA". It matches the Rfam family "Bacterial small subunit ribosomal RNA", at positions 28 to 507 of the family's 1533-position model. The record is from RNAcentral.